RNAcentral lists this ribosomal RNA (496 nucleotides) under uncultured bacterium. RNAcentral describes it as "partial 16S ribosomal RNA". It matches the Rfam family "Bacterial small subunit ribosomal RNA", at positions 29 to 507 of the family's 1533-position model. The record is from RNAcentral.
AUGAACGCUGGCGGCGUGCCUAAUACCUGCAAGUCGAGCGAACAGACGAGGAGCUUGCUCCUCUGACGUUAGCGGCGGACGGGUGAGUAACACGUGGAUAACCUACCUAUAAGACUGGGAUAACUUCGGGAAACCGGAGCUAAUACCGGAUAAUAUAUUGAACCGCAUGGUUCAAUAGUGAAAGACGGUUUUGCUGUCACUUAUAGAUGGAUCCGCGCCACAUUAGCUAGUUGGUAAGGUAACGGCUUACCAAGGCGACGAUGCGUAGCCGACCUGAGAGGGUGAUCGGCCACACUGGAACUGAGACACGGUCCAGACUCCUACGGGAGGCAGCAGUAGGGAAUCUUCCGCAAUGGGCGAAAGCCUGACGGAGCAACGCCGCGUGAGUGAUGAAGGUCUUCGGAUCGUAAAACUCUGUUAUUAGGGAAGAACAAAUGUGUAAGUAACUAUGCACGUCUUGACGGUACCUAAUCAGAAAGCCACGGCUAACUACGUG